ACAAAAACAUGUCUCUUUGAUUAUUUAAUAUAGGGAGUUUGACCUGCCCGGUGAUAAAAUAUUUAACGGCCGCAGUACUUUGACUGUGCGAAGGUAGCAUAAUUAUUUGCUUUAUAAUUGAAGGCUUGUAUGAAUGGUUUGACGAGAAUUGAUCUGUCUUAAUUUAAUUUUUUAGAAUUUAACUUUUAAGUGAAGAGGCUUUUAUUUUAUUGAUAGACAAGAAGACCCUGUCGAGCUUAAAUUUUUUAUUUAAUAUAAAUAUUUUAUUGUUUGUAGAUUUUAGUUGGGGUGACUAAGGAAUAGUAUGAGUUUCCUUAUAUAGUUUAAAAUUUGUUUAUUUUGAUCCAUUUAUUAAUGAUUAGUAGAAAAAGUUACCGCAGGGAUAACAGCAUAAUCUUUUUUGAGAGUUCAUAUCGAAAAAUAGGUUUGUGACCUCGAUGUUGGAUUAAAAUAUCCUAUGGGUGCAGAGGUUUUUAAGGGUUAGUCUGUUCGACUAUUAAAAUUUUACAUGAGCUGAG
This 518-nucleotide ribosomal RNA is filed under the name Ctena decussata. RNAcentral describes it as "partial 16S ribosomal RNA". It matches the Rfam family "Bacterial large subunit ribosomal RNA", at positions 1807 to 2609 of the family's 2925-position model. The record is from RNAcentral. Lineage: Eukaryota; Metazoa; Mollusca; Bivalvia; Lucinida; Lucinidae.